RNAcentral lists this ribosomal RNA (952 nucleotides) under Escherichia coli. Its description in RNAcentral is "partial 23S ribosomal RNA". It matches the Rfam family "Bacterial large subunit ribosomal RNA", at positions 475 to 1426 of the family's 2925-position model. Lineage: Bacteria; Pseudomonadati; Pseudomonadota; Gammaproteobacteria; Enterobacterales; Enterobacteriaceae. The record is from RNAcentral.
CCUGACUGACCGAUAGUGAACCAGUACCGUGAGGGAAAGGCGAAAAGAACCCCGGCGAGGGGAGUGAAAAAGAACCUGAAACCGUGUACGUACAAGCAGUGGGAGCACGCUUAGGCGUGUGACUGCGUACCUUUUGUAUAAUGGGUCAGCGACUUAUAUUCUGUAGCAAGGUUAACCGAAUAGGGGAGCCGAAGGGAAACCGAGUCUUAACUGGGCGUUAAGUUGCAGGGUAUAGACCCGAAACCCGGUGAUCUAGCCAUGGGCAGGUUGAAGGUUGGGUAACACUAACUGGAGGACCGAACCGACUAAUGUUGAAAAAUUAGCGGAUGACUUGUGGCUGGGGGUGAAAGGCCAAUCAAACCGGGAGAUAGCUGGUUCUCCCCGAAAGCUAUUUAGGUAGCGCCUCGUGAAUUCAUCUCCGGGGGUAGAGCACUGUUUCGGCAAGGGGGUCAUCCCGACUUACCAACCCGAUGCAAACUGCGAAUACCGGAGAAUGUUAUCACGGGAGACACACGGCGGGUGCUAACGUCCGUCGUGAAGAGGGAAACAACCCAGACCGCCAGCUAAGGUCCCAAAGUCAUGGUUAAGUGGGAAACGAUGUGGGAAGGCCCAGACAGCCAGGAUGUUGGCUUAGAAGCAGCCAUCAUUUAAAGAAAGCGUAAUAGCUCACUGGUCGAGUCGGCCUGCGCGGAAGAUGUAACGGGGCUAAACCAUGCACCGAAGCUGCGGCAGCGACGCUUAUGCGUUGUUGGGUAGGGGAGCGUUCUGUAAGCCUGUGAAGGUGUGCUGUGAGGCAUGCUGGAGGUAUCAGAAGUGCGAAUGCUGACAUAAGUAACGAUAAAGCGGGUGAAAAGCCCGCUCGCCGGAAGACCAAGGGUUCCUGUCCAACGUUAAUCGGGGCAGGGUGAGUCGACCCCUAAGGCGAGGCCGAAAGGCGUAGUCGAUGGGAAAC